This 428-nucleotide ribosomal RNA is filed under the name uncultured bacterium. Its description in RNAcentral is "bacterial SSU rRNA". It matches the Rfam family "Bacterial small subunit ribosomal RNA", at positions 355 to 796 of the family's 1533-position model. The record is from RNAcentral.
CCAAGAACAUUCCACAAUGGACGAAAGUCUGAUGGAGCGACGCCGCGUGAUUGAUGAAGUCCUUCGGGACGUAAAGAUCUUUUAUGAGGGAAGAAUUUUAUUGACAUUACCUCAUGAAUAAGGGGCUCCUAAUCUCGUGCCAGCAGGAGCGGUAAUACGAGAGCCCCGAGUGUUAUCCGGAAUUAUUGGGCGUAAAGGGUGCGUAGGUGGUUGUGUUAGUCGUAUGUCAAAACUCCGAGCUCAACUUGGAAUCCGCGUACGAAACGGCACGACUAGAGGAUGUGAGAGGUGUACAGAACUCAUGGUGUAGGGGUGAAAUCCGUUGAUAUCAUGGGGAAUACCAAAAGCGAAGGCAGUACACUGGCGCAUUCCUGACACUCAAGCACGAAAGCGUGGGUAGCGAAUGGGAUUAGAUACCCCCGUAGUCC